Molecule: transfer RNA, 71 nt
Filed under: Typhlatya iliffei
Lineage: Eukaryota; Metazoa; Arthropoda; Malacostraca; Decapoda; Atyidae
Description: tRNA-Glu
Rfam family: tRNA
About the family: Transfer RNA (tRNA) molecules are approximately 80 nucleotides in length.
Source: RNAcentral
GUUCUUAUAGUGUAAAAAACACAUUACAUUUUCAUUGUAAAACUAAAGGUUUUUGAACCCUUUUAACAACA